This 397-nucleotide long non-coding RNA is filed under the name Oryza brachyantha (malo sina). RNAcentral describes it as "long non-coding RNA (OBRA_LNC003005)". The record is from RNAcentral. Lineage: Eukaryota; Viridiplantae; Streptophyta; Magnoliopsida; Poales; Poaceae.
CGCCAUUCCCCUAUACAUUGUAUGUCAGUAUAUGUAGGUCCAAUAUUAUCCAUUCAUUCAUCUCCAACAUCGACAUCUCCUCGGUAGAGAAACGCCUAGCUAGGCAUGGGAAGCACAUGGAAUGCAUAUAUUUGUUGCUAUAACAUGUCCCAAGCUUGAUUGGGCUGGUGAUGUUGUGGCAAGAGGUCUUUUCAAACAAGGUUGAUGAAUUUGCCACCACUCACGUUUGUAGCACGUUUAGAAAGGAUGUAGUAAGUUACAUUUCGUAGGUGGAUGCACAUAUUAUCCAUGUAAGUGAAUAGGGCAAAGAUCAAGAAAGCUUUGCUCACGAAAUGCAAAUCAUCAUGAAUGCAAUGGACAAAAACUUGAAAACUGGAGGAUACAACAAGAUUAAUUG